Molecule: ribosomal RNA, 459 nt
Filed under: uncultured bacterium
Lineage: Bacteria
Description: partial 16S ribosomal RNA
Rfam family: Bacterial small subunit ribosomal RNA
Source: RNAcentral
CCUACGGGUGGCAGCAGUGAGGAAUCUUGGUCAAUGGGCGCUAGCCUGAACCAGCCAAGUAGCGUGAAGGAUGACUGCCCUAGGGGUUGUAAACUUCUGUUAUAUGGGAAUAAAGUGCAGUAUGUAUACUGCUUUGCAUGUACCUUAUGAAUAAGGAUCGGCUAACUCCGUGCCAGCAGCCGCGGUAAUACGGAGGAUCCGAGCGUUAUCCGGAUUUAUUGGGUUUAAAGGGAGCGUAGGUGGGUUGUUAAGUCAGUGGUGAAAGUUUGCGGCUAAACCCGGGCCGGCCGUUGAAACUGGGGAUCGUGAGUGGGCGAGAAGUAUGCGGAAUGCGUGGUGUAGCGGUGAAAUGCAGAGAUAUCACGCAGAACUCCGAUUGCGAAGGCAGCAUACCGGCGCCCGACUGACGCUGAGGCACGAAAGCGUGGGGAUCGAACAGGAUUAGAUACCCGAGUAGUC